GACGUAGGGCGCGAGCGUUGUCCGGAUUUGUUGGGCGUAAAGAGCUCGUCGGCGGCUUGUCGCGUCAACUGUGAAAACCCGUGGCUCAACCAUGUGGUCUGCAGUCGAUACGGGCAGGCUAGAAUUCGGUAGGGGAGACUGGAAUUCCUGGUGUAGCGGUGAAAUGCGCAGAUAUCAGGAGGAACACCGAUGGCGAAGGCAGUUCUCUGGGCCGUAACUGACGCUGAGGAGCGAAAGCGUGGGGAGCGAACAGG
Molecule: ribosomal RNA, 254 nt
Filed under: uncultured bacterium
Lineage: Bacteria
Description: partial 16S ribosomal RNA
Rfam family: Bacterial small subunit ribosomal RNA
Source: RNAcentral